This 347-nucleotide unclassified non-coding RNA is filed under the name soil metagenome. RNAcentral's name for it is "partial contains 5.8S ribosomal RNA, internal transcribed spacer 2, and large subunit ribosomal RNA". The stretch from base 1 to 120 matches the Rfam family "5.8S ribosomal RNA", at positions 35 to 154 of the family's 154-position model. The record is from RNAcentral.
GAUGAAGAACGUAGCGAAAUGCGAUAAGUAGUGUGAAUUGCAGAAUUCAGUGAAUCAUCGAAUCUUUGAACGCACAUUGCGCCCGCUGGUAUUCCGGCGGGCAUGCCUGUUCGAGCGUCAUUUCAACCCUCAAGCCCCCGGGUUUGGUGUUGGGGAUCGGCUCUGCCCUUCUGGGCGGUGCCGCCCCCGAAAUACAUUGGCGGUCUCGCUGCAGCCUCCAUUGCGUAGUAGCUAACACCUCGCAACUGGAACGCGGCGCGGCCAUGCCGUAAAACCCCAACUUCUGAAUGUUGACCUCGGAUCAGGUAGGAAUACCCGCUGAACUUAAGCAUAUCAUAAGCGGAGGA